This 84-nucleotide microRNA precursor is filed under the name Bombyx mori (domestic silkworm). RNAcentral's name for it is "mir-2807 microRNA precursor family". It matches the Rfam family "mir-2807 microRNA precursor family". The record is from Rfam by way of RNAcentral. Lineage: Eukaryota; Metazoa; Arthropoda; Insecta; Lepidoptera; Bombycidae.
AGAAAAAAAAAUUGUUUGGAGUUAGAACGUUUGCCUACGUUUGCCGUUAGGGGCGCUGUUCCAACUGCAUACAAAUUUGAAUUA